UACGUAGGGUGCGAGCGUUGUCCGGAAUUAUUGGGCGUAAAGAGCUUGUAGGCGGUUUGUCGCGUCUGCUGUGAAAAUCCGAGGCUCAACCUCGGACUUGCAGUGGGUACGGGCAGACUAGAGUGUGGUAGGGGAGACUGGAAUUCCUGGUGUAGCGGUGAAAUGCGCAGAUAUCAGGAGGAACACCGGUGGCGAAGGCGGGUCUCUGGAACGGUACUGACGCUGAGACGCGAAAGCGUGGGGAGCGAACAGG
This 253-nucleotide ribosomal RNA is filed under the name uncultured bacterium. Its description in RNAcentral is "partial 16S ribosomal RNA". It matches the Rfam family "Bacterial small subunit ribosomal RNA", at positions 524 to 776 of the family's 1533-position model. The record is from RNAcentral.